GAUGAACGCUGGCGGCGUGCCUAAUACAUGCAAGUCGAGCGAACAGACGAGGAGCUUGCUCCUCUGACGUUAGCGGCGGACGGGUGAGUAACACGUGGAUAACCUACCUAUAAGACUGGGAUAACUUCGGGAAACCGGAGCUACUACCGGAUAAUAUAUUGAACCGCAUGGUUCAAUAGUGAAAGACGGUUUUGCUGUCACUUAUAGAUGGAUCCGCGCCGCAUUAGCUAGUUGGUAAGGUAACGGCCUACCAAGGCAACGAUGCGUAGCUGACCUGAGAGGAUGAUCGGCCACACUGGAACUGAGACACGGUCCAGACUCCUACGGGAGGCAGCAGUAGGGAAUCUUGCGCAAUGGGCGAAAGCCUGACGGAGCAACGCCGCGUGAGUGAUGAAGGUCUUCGGAUCGUAAAACUCUGUUAUUAGGGAAGAACAAAUGUGUAAGUAACUAUGCACGUCUUGACGGUACCUAAUCAGAAAGCCACGGCUAACUACGUG
Molecule: ribosomal RNA, 497 nt
Filed under: uncultured bacterium
Lineage: Bacteria
Description: partial 16S ribosomal RNA
Rfam family: Bacterial small subunit ribosomal RNA
Source: RNAcentral